RNAcentral lists this ribosomal RNA (460 nucleotides) under uncultured bacterium. Its description in RNAcentral is "partial 16S ribosomal RNA". It matches the Rfam family "Bacterial small subunit ribosomal RNA", at positions 338 to 795 of the family's 1533-position model. The record is from RNAcentral.
CCUACGGGAGGCAGCAGUGAGGAAUAUUGGUCAAUGGACGGAAGUCUGAACCAGCCAUGCCGCGUGCAGGAAGACGGCUCUAUGAGUUGUAAACUGCUUUUGUACAAGGGUAAACCUGAAUACGUGUAUUCAGCUGAAAGUACUGUACGAAUAAGGAUCGGCUAACUCCGUGCCAGCAGCCGCGGUAAUACGGAGGAUCCAAGCGUUAUCCGGAUUUAUUGGGUUUAAAGGGUGCGUAGGCGGUUUGAUAAGUUAGAGGUGAAAUGUCCGAGCUUAACUCGGGAACUGCCUCUAAUACUGUUGGUCUAGAGAGUAGAUGCGGUAGGCGGAAUGUAUGGUGUAGCGGUGAAAUGCUUAGAGAUCAUACAGAACACCGAUUGCGAAGGCAGCUUACCAAUCUAUAUCUGACGUUGAGGCACGAAAGCGUGGGGAGCAAACAGGAUUAGAUACCCGAGUAGUC